Molecule: long non-coding RNA, 392 nt
Organism: Hyla sarda
Lineage: Eukaryota; Metazoa; Chordata; Amphibia; Anura; Hylidae
Exons: 3
Source: RefSeq, a predicted model, not a curated record
UCUCUUUCCGGAUUCCAGGAAUGACUACGAAGUAAAAACUGAUGAACAUGGAAAGAAAAUAAAGCGACGGAACCUUUGAUGUCGGGGAUGUGGGUCCCGGUGAAUGACAGCCAUAGAGCGUUAUCUUCAUAAACAUUAUACGGUAUUAUUAUUAACCAUCUACGGGAUCGGGCUUGUUCCAUUACAGUGUGGGAAGCUGAAAUACUUCAAAUCUCGAACCAUGACUGGAGAAUAAAGAGAUCCCGAGACUGAUAAAUAGGUCUGCCAAAUAAAAUGGCUUCCGACCCCAACGACUCUGAGAGGAGCUGUCUAAACCCAUGUGACCUUGCCUGCCAAUGGGAACCCCUAAAUUCUUUAGUAUAUAGAGUAGUGGGGGAGGAGUUACCCCAGUU